GGAUGAACGUUGGCGGCGUGCCUAAUACAUGCAAGUCGAACGGAGACGGUAGCAAUACGGUCUCAGUGGCGAACGGGUGAGUAACGCGUUGGUGACCUGCCCCGAAGUGUGGAAUAACAGAUCGAAAGAGCUGCUAAUACCGCAUAAUAUCCAGAAGAUUAGAUGCUUUUGGAUUAAAGGAUUUAUUCGCUUCGGGAGGGGCCUGCGUCCCAUCAGCUAGUUGGUAAGGUAAAGGCUUACCAAGGCUAUGACGGGUAGGGGACCUGAGAGGGUGGCCCCCCACAAUGGAACUGAAACACGGUCCAUACACCUACGGGUGGCAGCAGUAGGGAAUAUUAGUAAUGGGCGAAAGCCUGAACUAGCAACGCCGCGUGUGCGAAGAAGGCCUUCGGGUUGUAAAGCACUUUUUGAGAGGAUGAGGAAGGACGGUACUCUCAGAAUAAGUCUCGGCUAACUACGUGCCAGCAGCCGCGGUAACACGUAGGAGGCGAACGUUAUCCGGAUUUACUGGGCGUAAAGCGCGUGUAGGUGGUUUGGUAAGUAGGGCGUGAAAGCUCCUGGCUCAACUGGGAGAGGCCGUUCUAAACUGCCGAACUAGAGGAUGGUAGAGGGAGGUGGAAUUCCGGGUGUAGCGGUGGAAUGCGCAGAUAUCCGGAGGAACACCAGUGGCGAAAGCGGCCUCCUGGACCAUUCCUGACACUCAGACGCGAAAGCUAGGGUAGCAAACGGGAUUAGAGACCCCGGUAGUCCUAGCCCUAAACGAUGUAGACUAGGCGUCGGUGGUUUAAACGCCAUCGGUGUCCAAGCUAACGCGAUAAGUCUACCGCCUGGGGACUACGGCCGCAAGGUUAAAACUCAAAGGAAUUGACGGGUCCCCGCACAAGCAGCGGAGCGUGUGGUUUAAUUCGUUGCUACACGAAGAACCUUACCUGGGUUUGACAUAGCAGUGGUAGGGAAGCGAAAGCGGACCGACCCUUCGGGGAGCUGUUACAGGUGUUGCAUGGCUGUCGUCAGCUCGUGUCGUGAGAUGUUAGGUUAAGUCCUGCAACGAGCGCAACCCUCGUCCUUAGUUACCAUCAUUAAGUUGGGGACUCUAAGGAGACUGCCGAUGUAAAUCGGAGGAAGGUAGGGAUGACGUCAAAUCAUCAUGCCCUUUACGUCCUGGGCGACACACGUGCUACAAUGGCCGGUACAGAGAGAAGCAAGACCGCGAGGUGGAGCUAAUCCCAUAAAGCCGGUCUCAGUUCAGAUUGAAGUCUGCAACUCGACUUCAUGAAGUCGGAAUUGCUAGUAAUCGCAGAUCAGCCAUGCUGCGGUGAAUACGUUCCCGGGGCU
Molecule: ribosomal RNA, 1335 nt
Filed under: uncultured bacterium
Lineage: Bacteria
Description: bacterial SSU rRNA
Rfam family: Bacterial small subunit ribosomal RNA
Source: RNAcentral